This 1159-nucleotide ribosomal RNA is filed under the name Lactococcus lactis. RNAcentral describes it as "bacterial SSU rRNA". It matches the Rfam family "Bacterial small subunit ribosomal RNA", at positions 30 to 1179 of the family's 1533-position model. The record is from RNAcentral. Lineage: Bacteria; Bacillati; Bacillota; Bacilli; Lactobacillales; Streptococcaceae.
CCACCGGUGCGGGCGCGGCUACACAUGCAGUCUGAGCGCUGAAGGUUGGUACUUGUACCAACUGGAUGAGCAGCGAACGGGUGAGUAACGCGUGGGGAAUCUGCCUUUGAGCGGGGGACAACAUUUGGAAACGAAUGCUAAUACCGCAUAAAAACUUUAAACACAAGUUUUAAGUUUGAAAGAUGCAAUUGCAUCACUCAAAGAUGAUCCCGCGUUGUAUUAGCUAGUUGGUGAGGUAAAGGCUCACCAAGGCGAUGAUACAUAGCCGACCUGAGAGGGUGAUCGGCCACAUUGGGACUGAGACACGGCCCAAACUCCUACGGGAGGCAGCAGUAGGGAAUCUUCGGCAAUGGACGAAAGUCUGACCGAGCAACGCCGCGUGAGUGAAGAAGGUUUUCGGAUCGUAAAACUCUGUUGGUAGAGAAGAACGUUGGUGAGAGUGGAAAGCUCAUCAAGUGACGGUAACUACCCAGAAAGGGACGGCUAACUACGUGCCAGCAGCCGCGGUAAUACGUAGGUCCCGAGCGUUGUCCGGAUUUAUUGGGCGUAAAGCGAGCGCAGGUGGUUUAUUAAGUCUGGUGUAAAAGGCAGUGGCUCAACCAUUGUAUGCAUUGGAAACUGGUAGACUUGAGUGCAGGAGAGGAGAGUGGAAUUCCAUGUGUAGCGGUGAAAUGCGUAGAUAUAUGGAGGAACACCGGUGGCGAAAGCGGCUCUCUGGCCUGUAACUGACACUGAGGCUCGAAAGCGUGGGGAGCAAACAGGAUUAGAUACCCUGGUAGUCCACGCCGUAAACGAUGAGUGCUAGAUGUAGGGAGCUAUAAGUUCUCUGUAUCGCAGCUAACGCAAUAAGCACUCCGCCUGGGGGAGUACGACCGCAAGGUUGAAACUCAAAGGAAUUGACGGGGGCCCGCACAAGCGGUGGAGCAUGUGGUUUAAUUCGAAGCAACGCGAAGAACCCUUACCAGGUCUUGACAUACUCGUGCUAUUCCUAGAAGAUAGGAAGUUCCUUCGGGACACGGGAUACAGUGCUGCAUGGUUGUCGUCAGCUCGUGUCGUGAGAUUGUUUGGGUUUAAGUCCCGCACCGAGCGCACCCCUAUGUAGUUGCAUCAAUAGUGGGCACUCUACGAGACUGCGUGAUAAACGGGAGGAAGGGUGGGG